GUGUGUUAAUGUAGAAAUUGUGCAACAGCUUGAAAUAUCAUAAAGAAGGUCUGCACAAGUUAAGACUAUUACCUACAAGCUCCAACCCCACACAACCAGCGCAUGCAGCUACAGCUACACAACCAAGGAGCAGCCAUUCUGUGUGCCGAGGAUCGCUGUACAUACAGUGCAGUGUACGUGUAUGCUGUGUACAUGCUGUGUAUGCUGUGUACAUGAUGUGUACAUGCUGUGCUGUGUACAUGCUGUGUAUGCUGUGUGUGCUUGUGUACUGUGUACGUGCAUGCAGCUACAUCUACACAACCAAGGAGCAGCCAUUUUAUUUUGUGUGCCGAGGAUCGCUGUACAUGCAGUGCAGUGUACGUGUAUGCUGUGUACAUGCAGCAAUAUAGCUAGUACUAGUAGCCUACGUGCACUGUUCACAGUCCAGCUUCAUGCCUCGUGUACAUCUCGGUGUUUUAGAUCUGCAAAUUCAUGCUGAAUUCUGUUUUUCCCGGCUAAUCUACAACAGUAUGGAUAUAUACGCAACAUGACAAAUGAGUAGUUUCCAUAUCGACUUCGUUCUUUCUCAUCUUGACCAAAACAUCAACGCCACCAUCACCAUUUCUUCGUCGUUAACCUCCGUUUUGGCGUUUGAACUUGAAGUUUGUUGCGAACUCUAAUAAUGAAUUUGGACAUUGGCAUUAUCGACUUUUGUUCUAUCUUUGAACACCAUCGACGUCGAACUUUGAUUGAAGGUAAGAACCUCCUCUUUACCUUCUUCGUCUCUACGAUUUGCGUUUCGUCGUUUGCAAGUCUGAUCCUGACUCCGGCUAAUGAUGAAUUUAUCGACUUUCGAUCUGUCUUCGAUCACCGUCGACGUCGGAACUCUACACCAAGUUUCACCAUCGCCAUACAUGGACUUCGCAUACGAUCGACAUUGCAGACUCUUGGCUUUUAUUCAUCAUUCAUUUUUGAACUGUAUUAUGAUUACCGACGUCAUAUAUGAUCUACCAUAGCAAGUAGGCCUAGCUACCAAUUGUUUCUUCAACCAAAAUCAAGUACGACAUCUUCGACGAAUCUCGCACCUCCGCUGGAAGGACAGUUUGUAAAUUGUACUAUUGAAUAUAAGCGGCAGUCUUUCGCUAUAGAAAUAGACUAACCAAUUUACUUAUAAUAUUGCUGUGUGCUGAAAGUGUUUAGUGUCAUAUGCAAUGUAACAAGCGGCAGUCUUUCGCUAUAGAAAUAGACUUCAGUUUUCGACUGUAAAUUGUUUUAUAUAUUUUACAUUAUAUA
Long non-coding RNA from Strongylocentrotus purpuratus (purple sea urchin), 1272 nucleotides. RefSeq lists it as uncharacterized. The record is from RefSeq and is a predicted model, not a curated record. The transcript has 2 exons. NCBI's taxonomy places the organism in Eukaryota, Metazoa, Echinodermata, Echinoidea, Camarodonta, Strongylocentrotidae.